UACAGAGGGUGCAAGCGUUAAUCGGAAUUACUGGGCGUAAAGCGUGCGCAGGCGGUUUUGUAAGUCUGUCGUGAAAGCCCCGGGCUCAACCUGGGAAUUGCGAUGGAGACUGCAAGGCUUGAAUCUGGCAGAGGGGGGUAGAAUUCCACGUGUAGCAGUGAAAUGCGUAGAGAUGUGGAGGAACACCGAUGGCGAAGGCAGCCUCCUGGGCCAGCACUGACGCUCAUGCACGAAAGCGUGGGGAGCAAACAGG
This 253-nucleotide ribosomal RNA is filed under the name uncultured bacterium. RNAcentral describes it as "partial 16S ribosomal RNA". It matches the Rfam family "Bacterial small subunit ribosomal RNA", at positions 524 to 776 of the family's 1533-position model. The record is from RNAcentral.